GAUGAACGCUAGCGGCAGGCCUAACACAUGCAAGUCGAGGGGCAGCACAGAAACAGCAAUGUUUUGGUGGCGACCGGCGGACGGGUGCGUAACGCGUAUGCAACCUACCUUUAACAGGGGGAUAACGGAGAGAAAUUUCCACUAAUACCCCAUAACAUCGAUCAAGGCAUCUUGAUUGGUUGAAAACUCCGGUGGUUAAAGAUGGGCAUGCGUUGUAUUAGGUAGUUGGUGAGGUAAUGGCUCACCAAGCCUACGAUACAUAGGGGGACUGAGAGGUUAGCCCCCCACACUGGUACUGAGACACGGACCAGACUCCUACGGGAGGCAGCAGUGAGGAAUAUUGGUCAAUGGGGGCAACCCUGAACCAGCCAUGCCGCGUGCAGGAAGACGGCUCUAUGAGUUGUAAACUGCUUUUACAAGGGGAUAAAUCGGUGUACGUGUACACCGUUGAAGGUACCUUGGGAAUAAGGAUCGGCUAACUCCGUGCCAGCCGCCGCUGUAA
Molecule: ribosomal RNA, 502 nt
Filed under: uncultured bacterium
Lineage: Bacteria
Description: partial 16S ribosomal RNA
Rfam family: Bacterial small subunit ribosomal RNA
Source: RNAcentral